UGUGAGCAGACGUUGAACUCGCCUCCUCCCAUGAACACAACCAGGUUACAACAAUUUUAGGAAGAAUCACGCUGGAUUGAAAACUGAAAACUGGAUAAAAAGAACCCCCACAACAAGGGACAGUCCUGACGAAAGCAGAAGAGGCAGCAACUCCGGCAGGAGAGGAAAAAAGCCACCUUUGGGAGCAGCGGAGCUUCUCAGCUGGCCAGGCGGGAGCCACUCUAAGUUCAUAGGUCUAUGGACCAAGAGAUCAUCCACCUGAAGGUCCAGCUGGAGUAAAAGGGGAUGCUGGGGAAGCAGCUCCAGAGGAAGAGCAGCAGCAGAAAGAAGACCAUGUCAACCUCAGUGGGG
RNAcentral lists this long non-coding RNA (351 nucleotides) under Equus caballus (horse). RNAcentral's name for it is "lncRNA (ENSECAG00000050993.1)". The record is from RNAcentral. Lineage: Eukaryota; Metazoa; Chordata; Mammalia; Perissodactyla; Equidae.